This 429-nucleotide ribosomal RNA is filed under the name Pseudomonadota bacterium. RNAcentral's name for it is "Proteobacteria bacterium partial 16S ribosomal RNA". It matches the Rfam family "Bacterial small subunit ribosomal RNA", at positions 355 to 776 of the family's 1533-position model. The record is from RNAcentral. Lineage: Bacteria; Pseudomonadati; Pseudomonadota.
UGGGGAAUAUUGGACAAUGGGCGAAAGCCUGAUCCAGCCAUGCCGCGUGUGUGAAGAAGGUCUUCGGAUUGUAAAGCACUUUAAGUUGGGAGGAAGGGCAGUAAGCGAAUACCUUGCUGUUUUGACGUUACCGACAGAAUAAGCACCGGCUAACUCUGUGCCAGCAGCCGCGGUAAUACAGAGUGUGCAAGCGUUAAUCGGAAUUACUGGGCGUAAAGCGCGCGUAGGUGGUUCGUUAAGUUGAAUGUGAAAGCCCCGGGCUCAACCUGGGAACUGCAUCCAAAACUGGCGAGCUAGAGUAGGGCAGAGGGUGGUGGAAUUUCCUGUGUAGCGGUGAAAUGCGUAGAUAUAGGAAGGAACACCAGUGGCGAAGGCGACCACCUGGGCUCAUACUGACACUGAGGUGCGAAAGCGUGGGGAGCAAACAGG